GCAUUGGUGGCUGAGUGGUAGAAUUCUUGCCUUCCAUUUAACAGACCCAGGCUCCAUUCCUGGCCAAUGUA
Molecule: transfer RNA, 71 nt
Filed under: Loxodonta africana (African savanna elephant)
Lineage: Eukaryota; Metazoa; Chordata; Mammalia; Proboscidea; Elephantidae
Rfam family: tRNA
About the family: Transfer RNA (tRNA) molecules are approximately 80 nucleotides in length.
Source: Rfam by way of RNAcentral